CAUGCAAGUCGGACGGUAACAGGAGAGAAGCUUGCUUUUCUUGCUGACGAGUGGCGGACGGGUGAGUAACGCGUGGGAAUCUACCCUUUAGUUGGGGACAACAUAUGGAAACGUAUGCUAAUACCGAAUAUGCUCUACGGAGUAAAGGUGCCCUCUCCUUGGAAGGUAUCGCUAAAGGAUGAGCCCGCGUUAGAUUAGCUAGUUGGUAGGGUAAAGGCCUACCAAGGCGACGAUCUAUAGCUGGUUUGAGAGGAUGAUCAGCCACACUGGGACUGAGACACGGCCCAGACUCCUACGGGAGGCAGCAGUGGGGAAUAUUGCACAAUGAGGGAAACCUUGAUGCAGCCAUGCCGCGUGUGUGAAGAAGGCCCGAGGGUUGUAAAGCACUUUCAAUUGUGAGGAAGAUUAAGUAGCUAAUACCUGCUUAGUUUGACGUUAACUUUAGAAGAAGCACCGGCUAACUCUGUGCCAGCAGCCGCGGUAAUACAGAGGGUGCAAGCGUUAUUCGGAAUUACUGGGCGUAAAGCGCGCGUAGGCGGACUGUUAAGUCGGUUGUGAAAGCCCUGGGCUCAACCUAGGAACUGCAUCCGAUACUGGCAAUCUAGAGUUUAAGAGAGGGAAGUGGAAUUCCAGGUGUAGCAGUGAAAUGCGUAGAUAUCUGGAGGAACAUCAGUGGCGAAGGCGACUUCCUGGCUUAAAACUGACGCUGAGGUGCGAAAGCUUGGGUAGCGAACGGGAUUAGAUACCCCGGUAGUCCAAGCCGUAAACGAUGUCAACUAGCUGUUGGUCUUAUUAAAAAGAUUAGUAGCGCAGCUAACGCGAUAAGUUGACCGCCUGGGGAGUACGGU
RNAcentral lists this ribosomal RNA (848 nucleotides) under uncultured bacterium. RNAcentral's name for it is "bacterial SSU rRNA". It matches the Rfam family "Bacterial small subunit ribosomal RNA", at positions 54 to 886 of the family's 1533-position model. The record is from RNAcentral.